GACGAACGCUGGCGGCGUGCUUAACACAUGCAAGUCGAACGGAAAGGCCCUGCUUUUGUGGGGUGCUCGAGUGGCGAACGGGUGAGUAACACGUGAGUAACCUGCCCUUGACUUUGGGAUAACUUCAGGAAACUGGGGCUAAUACCGGAUAGGAGCUCCUGCUGCAUGGUGGGGGUUGGAAAGUUUCGGCGGUUGGGGAUGGACUCGCGGCUUAUCAGCUUGUUGGUGGGGUAGUGGCUUACCAAGGCUUUGACGGGUAGCCGGCCUGAGAGGGUGACCGGCCACAAUGGGACUGCGAUACGGCCCAGACUCCUACGGGAGGCAGCAGUGGGGAAUAUUGCACAAUGGACGGAAGCCUGAUGCAGCAACGCCGCGUGCGGGAUGACGUCCUUCGGGUUGUAAACCGCUUUCGCCUGUGACGAAGCGUGAGUGACGGUAAUGGGUAAAGAAGCACCGGCUAACUACGUG
Molecule: ribosomal RNA, 468 nt
Filed under: uncultured bacterium
Lineage: Bacteria
Description: partial 16S ribosomal RNA
Rfam family: Bacterial small subunit ribosomal RNA
Source: RNAcentral